This 497-nucleotide ribosomal RNA is filed under the name uncultured bacterium. Its description in RNAcentral is "partial 16S ribosomal RNA". It matches the Rfam family "Bacterial small subunit ribosomal RNA", at positions 28 to 507 of the family's 1533-position model. The record is from RNAcentral.
GAUGAACGCUAGCGGCGUGCCUAAUACAUGCAAGUCGAGCGAACAGACGAGGAGCUUGCUCCUCUGACGUUAGCGGCGGACGGGUGAGUAACACGUGGAUAACCUACCUAUAAGACUGGGAUAACUUCGGGAAACCGGAGCUAAUACCGGAUAAUAUAUUGAACCGCAUGGUUCAAUAGUGAAAGACGGUUUUGCUGUCACUUAUAGAUGGAUCCGCGCCGCAUUAGCUAGUUGGUAAGGUAACGGCUUACCAAGGCAACGAUGCGUAGCCGACCUGAGAGGGUGAUCGGCCACACUGGAACUGAGACACGGUCCAGACUCCUACGGGAGGCAGCAGUAGGGAAUCUUCCGCAAUGGGCGAAAGCCUGACGGAGCAACGACGCGUGAGUGAUGAAGGUCUUCGGAUCGUAAAACUCUGUUAUUAGGGAAGAACAAAUGUGUAAGUAACUAUGCACGUCUUGACGGUACCUAAUCAGAAAGCCACGGCUAACUACGUG